GUACAUGAAUCAACAUCAGUAUCAUCCACUGGAGGAGCUAGUCCAUCAGCUACUGUUGAUGUCAAUAAAGUAAAGAAAGUGAUUGAUGAUGUUCUUGUAUCUCAUGAUGCUGCUCUCAAUUCUUUGCCUAAGAAAGGUCUUUCUGAACUUACUAGUCAGCUUUACACAGUUCGUCUGGUCAAUAAUGCAGUGAGACAAGCUCCUUCAAUGAAAGAGUGCAUUGAUGAGUUCAAGGCUAGUCUUAGUUUUAAGAGGAAGUUGCCUAAAGUGGAGAAGCACUGUCAAAAGUUCUUAAACUCAUUCAUUGCUGUAAGAGGCAGUUAUGCUGAUGCAGCAGAAGCUUUAGGUGAGGACUGGAUUGAAGCUAUUAGGAAUGAACUGGGACUUGAUUUUAAUAUUAAUAUUGAUGCUUAAUAUAAUUGAUUUGCAUUGUCAUUAUUGCUUGUUUUAAAUAAUUUUUUAAAAA
Long non-coding RNA from Amphimedon queenslandica, 466 nucleotides. RefSeq lists it as uncharacterized. NCBI's taxonomy places the organism in Eukaryota, Metazoa, Porifera, Demospongiae, Haplosclerida, Niphatidae. The transcript has 2 exons. The record is from RefSeq and is a predicted model, not a curated record.